UAAUAUUAAAGCAAGGCACUGAAAAUGCCUAGAUGAGUCCCUUGACUCCAUAAACA
This 56-nucleotide transfer RNA is filed under the name Myotis albescens. RNAcentral's name for it is "tRNA-Phe". Lineage: Eukaryota; Metazoa; Chordata; Mammalia; Chiroptera; Vespertilionidae. The record is from RNAcentral.